GAUGAACGCUAGCUACAGGCUUAACACAUGCAAGUCGAGGGGUAACGAGAGGGAAGCUUGCUUUCCUUGUCGACGACCGGCGCACGGGUGAGUAACGCGUAUCCAACCUGCCCCCAACUAGGGAAUAACCUUGCGAAAGUAAGACUAAUACCCUAUAAUUUCCUCAGAUGCCAUCUGCCGAGGAAUAAAGAUUUAUCGGUUGUGGAUGGGGAUGCGUCUGAUUAGCUUGUUGGCGGGGUAACGGCCCACCAAGGCAACGAUCAGUAGGGGUUCCGAGGGGCAGAUCCGCCGCAUGUGGACAGGGACACCGCCCAAAUUCCUACGGGAGGCAGAAGUGAGAAAUAGAGGUCAAUGGUCGGAAGCAUUAAACAGACAAGGAGAGUGCAGUAGGGCGGUACUAAAGCUUUUAAACUGCGUUUAUACAGGAAUAGGUUUAGCCACUUGUGUUUAUUGUGAGGUACUGUAAGAAUAAGGUCCUGCUAAUCCCGGGCCAGCCGCUGCCGUAA
Molecule: ribosomal RNA, 506 nt
Filed under: uncultured bacterium
Lineage: Bacteria
Description: partial 16S ribosomal RNA
Rfam family: Bacterial small subunit ribosomal RNA
Source: RNAcentral